Molecule: non-coding RNA, 30 nt
Filed under: Mus musculus (house mouse)
Lineage: Eukaryota; Metazoa; Chordata; Mammalia; Rodentia; Muridae
Source: RNAcentral
UGAGUUUGAAGCACGUAUAUGAGAUUGCCU